GUCCCCGUAGCUCAGAUGGAUAGAGCGCGCGCCUCCUAAGCGCGAGGCCGGCAGUUCAAUUCUGCCCGGGGACGCCA
RNAcentral lists this transfer RNA (77 nucleotides) under Acidobacteria bacterium RIFCSPLOWO2_02_FULL_67_21. Its description in RNAcentral is "tRNA-Arg". It matches the Rfam family "tRNA". From Rfam's summary of the family: Transfer RNA (tRNA) molecules are approximately 80 nucleotides in length. Their secondary structure includes four short double-helical elements and three loops (D, anti-codon, and T loops). RNAcentral also lists the same sequence under 5 other names. The record is from RNAcentral. Lineage: Bacteria; Pseudomonadati; Acidobacteriota.